GGCGACGAGUGGCGAACGGGUGAGUAAUGCAUCGGAACGUGCCCAGUAGUGGGGGAUAGCCCGGCGAAAGCCGGAUUAAUACCGCAUACGACCUACGGGUGAAAGCGGGGGACUCGCAAGAGCCUCGCGCUAUUGGAGCGGCCGAUGUCAGAUUAGCUAGUUGGUGGGGUAAAAGCCUACCAAGGCGACGAUCUGUAGCUGGUCUGAGAGGACGACCAGCCACACUGGGACUGAGACACGGCCCAGACUCCUACGGGAGGCAGCAGUGGGGAAUUUUGGACAAUGGGCGCAAGCCUGAUCCAGCCAUGCCGCGUGCGGGAAGAAGGCCUUCGGGUUGUAAACCGCUUUUGUCAGGGAAGAAACGCUCUGGGCUAAUACCCCGGGGUAAUGACGGUACCUGAAGAAUAAGCACCGGCUAACUACGUGCCAGCAGCCGCGGUAAUACGUAGGGUGCAAGCGUUAAUCGGAAUUACUGGGCGUAAAGCGUGCGCAGGCGGUUAUGCAAGACAGAUGUGAAAUCCCCGGGCUCAACCUGGGAACUGCAUUUGUGACUGCAUAGCUAGAGUACGGUAGAGGGGGAUGGAAUUCCGCGUGUAGCAGUGAAAUGCGUAGAUAUGCGGAGGAACACCGAUGGCGAAGGCAAUCCCCUGGACCUGUACUGACGCUCAUGCACGAAAGCGUGGGGAGCAGACAGGAUUAGAUACCCUGGUAGUCCACGCCCUAAACGAUGUCAACUGGUUGUUGGACGGCUUGCUGUUCAGUAACGAAGCUAACGCGUGAAGUUGACCGCCUGGGGAGUACGGCCGCAAGGUUGAGACUCAAAGGAAUUGACGGGGGCCCGCACAAGCGGUGGAUGAUGUGGUUUAAUUCGAUGCAACGCGAAAAACCUUACCUACCCUUGACAUGUCAAGAAUCUUGCAGAGAUGUGAGAGUGCUCGAAAGAGAACUUGAACACAGGUGCUGCAUGGCCGUCGUCAGCUCGUGUCGUGAGAUGUUGGGUUAAGUCCCGCAACGAGCGCAACCCUUGUCAUUAGUUGCUACGAAAGGGCACUCUAAUGAGACUGCCGGUGACAAACCGGAGGAAGGUGGGGAUGACGUCAGGUCCUCAUGGCCCUUAUGGGUAGGCUACACACGUCAUACAAUGGCCGGUACAGAGGGCUGCCAACCCGCGAGGGGGAGCUAAUCCCAGAAAACCGGUCGUAGUCCGGAUCGCAGUCUGCAACUCGACUGCGUGAAGUCGGAAUCGCUAGUAAUCGCGGAUCAGCUUGCCGCGGUGAAUACGUUCCCGGGUCUUGUACACACCGCCCGUCACACCAUGGGAGCGGGUUCUGCCA
RNAcentral lists this ribosomal RNA (1334 nucleotides) under metagenome. RNAcentral describes it as "bacterial SSU rRNA". It matches the Rfam family "Bacterial small subunit ribosomal RNA", at positions 87 to 1422 of the family's 1533-position model. The record is from RNAcentral.